ACGCUCGACACCUACUGGAGGCAGCAGUGGGGAAUAUUGCACAAUGGGGGAAACCCUGAUGCAGCGACGCCGCGUGGAGGAAGAAGGUCUUCGGAUUGUAAACUCCUGUUGUUGGGGAAAAAGAGGAUGGUACCCAACAAGGAAGUGACGGCUAACUACGUGCCAGCAGCCGCGGUAAUCUGAGGCGGGCUGGCAAGGC
RNAcentral lists this ribosomal RNA (199 nucleotides) under uncultured bacterium. Its description in RNAcentral is "partial 16S ribosomal RNA". It matches the Rfam family "Bacterial small subunit ribosomal RNA", at positions 328 to 539 of the family's 1533-position model. The record is from RNAcentral.